This is a non-coding RNA of Gossypium raimondii (Peruvian cotton), 143 nucleotides long. The record is from Rfam. Lineage: Eukaryota; Viridiplantae; Streptophyta; Magnoliopsida; Malvales; Malvaceae.
UAUUAUAAAUUUCAUCCAUUUAUACUAUUAAAAACUAGCGUGGCUAAUGGAAUAAUUAGACAGUGACACUUAGCGUGCAACAUGUACCUCAGACUAACAUAUAAGGACUAGUUUUUAACUGUAAAAAUUUAGAAUUUUUAACA